This 335-nucleotide long non-coding RNA is filed under the name Hordeum vulgare. Its description in RNAcentral is "long non-coding RNA (HVUL_LNC007338)". The record is from RNAcentral. Lineage: Eukaryota; Viridiplantae; Streptophyta; Magnoliopsida; Poales; Poaceae.
UAGAGUGCGCUGCCCCCCACAACGGUUCUGACUCAGGGGUGGAGUAGUGGUGAUUGAAUGCGGACGUUACAGGUAACGUAUGCUCUAAAUGCUAAUAGAUGCACCCGGAAACGUACGGCAGUUUCCCUCCGGAGAGGUUACGACGUACCGAGUGUAUCCAGUCGGUGAGCCUGGUGUCCUCUGAAUGCUAGUUACCGACUGAAUGAUUCAGGGCCUGUUACCGACUGGAUGACGGGGAUACCUUGAUUCAGUCGGGGCAGACUUAGGGUCCUGUCCUUUGUGUGGGGUAGUCCUUGGAUAGGACGUGUACGGCAGGCCUAUGACCCUACCCUAGG